GCCUUCGUGGUGUAGUGGUCAACACGCUGGGCGCGUAUUCCACAGGUCCGUGGUUCGAGUCCCGGCGAAGGCG
Stegodyphus mimosarum is the source of this 73-nucleotide non-coding RNA. Lineage: Eukaryota; Metazoa; Arthropoda; Arachnida; Araneae; Eresidae. The record is from Rfam.